Molecule: ribosomal RNA, 388 nt
Filed under: Leleyellus eulabes
Lineage: Eukaryota; Metazoa; Arthropoda; Insecta; Diptera; Asilidae
Description: partial large subunit ribosomal RNA
Source: RNAcentral
ACUGUGCAAAGGUAGCAUAAUCACUAGUUUUUUAAUUGAAAGCUUGAAUGAAUGGUUGGACGAGGCACUAGCUGUUUCAUAUUAAAUAUUAGAAUUUUAUUUUUUGGUAAAAAAGCCUAAAUUUUUUUGAAAGACGAGAAGACCCUAUAGAUCUUUAUAAUUUUACUGUUAUUAUCUAUUAAGAUUUAUUUAGUUAAUAUUGUUUAAUUUAUUUUGUUGGGGUGAUAUAGAAAUUUAUUUAACUUUCUAAAUUUUUUAUACAUUUAUUUAUGUUUUUAUUUGAUCCUUUAUUUAAGAUUGAAAAAUUAAGUUACCUUAGGGAUAACAGCGUAAUUUUUUCGGAGAGUUCAUAUCGAUGNNNNNGAUUGCGACCUCGAUGUUGGAUUAA